Molecule: long non-coding RNA, 1998 nt
Organism: Gorilla gorilla gorilla (western lowland gorilla)
Lineage: Eukaryota; Metazoa; Chordata; Mammalia; Primates; Hominidae
Exons: 3
Source: RefSeq, a predicted model, not a curated record
CCAGCCCAACUGGGGGUUUCUUCUGGUCCCAGCUGAGCUUACUUAUGAUUUUGCAGUCAGCUGUGUGUUUGAAGCUCUGCUGACCUUGACUUAUCUAUGUUUGGAGGUUGGCUGGCAAUGGACACACUGGGAAAACUGCACUUCCAUAUGUGUUUCUCAUUCUCCAGCAGGCUAGCCCAGGCCAGGAGAGAAGCAUGCAAGUCAUCUAGAGGUCCGGGCUUGGAUCUGGCACUUCUAUUGCAUUCAGUUGGCCAAAGUGAAUGGCAGGCCAUCCUAGAUUGAUGGGAAGGAAACUUCAUCUCUUGAUGGGAGUGACUGCCAUGUCAUGUUGUGAAGGGCAGGGAAUCCACAUAGUUUACUGUCCAGUCCAGAACAUCACUUCACCUUUCUCCUGCCAGAGCUACGCUCUUCUUACUCCUGAGUUGGCAGAGGAUGAGCUAGAGGGCAACCUCAGACUCUGAUGGUGCAGUAAGAGUCAAGGAUGAACGACCAGACCCUAGCUCACUGUCCCCCCCCCCUUUUUUUUUUUAGACAGGGUCUUGCUCUGUCAUCCAGGCUGGGGUACAGUGGUGCGAUCUCAGCUCACUGCAACCUCUGCCUCCCUGGUUCAAGUGAGUCUCAUGCCUCAGCCACCCAAGUAGCUGGGUUUAUAGGCAUGAGCCAGUACACCUGGCUAAUUUUUGUAUUUUUAGUAGAGAAGAGGUUUCACUAUGUUGGUCAGGUUGGUCUCAAACUCCUGGCCUCAAGUGAUCUGCCCACCUUGGCCUCCCAAAGUUCUGGGAUUAUGGGCAUGAGCCACAGCACCUGGCCACCCCCUGGCCACUAUUAGGAGGUUGGCAUGACAGAUGAGCAGCCAAUAUCCACUCUUCCCUCCUGCCUGAGAAUGGGCCUAGGAGUACAGUCUGAACCUCUGAGCCACCCAAAUCACUGCCAUUCUGGGGGAAUCUACCAUCAAUUCUAACUUCAAAAGGGAAACUAGAAAUCAGGGAGGUGAAGGCAAUAGGGCUGGCAACUCACCUUCUUUCCACAAACAGGAAGGAUUGAGGCCACUUUAUGGAGAUGGUGACAGUAAUAUGUCUUCGAUACCUGUUGUGUGGUCUGCCAGGUACUCAUUCCCAUUUCCUUCUGAAAGUGUAACUCCAAUUUCUCUUGGAAAACUAUCCCUUGUAGCAUAUCCAUCCUUGUAGCAUAUCCAUCCAUCCAUCCCUUGUAGCAUAUCCUUGCAGCAUAUCCAUCCUUGUAGCAUAUCCAUCCAUCCAUCCAUUGUAGCAUAUCCAUCCUUGUAGCAUAUCCAUCCAUCCAUCCAUUGAUCCAUUGAUCCAUCCAUCCAUCCAUCCAUCUGUCUGUCCAACAAAACUUUGUUGUGUUCCAGUGAUGCCCCAGCUCCUGGGGAUACAGAAACGAACAAGAAAAAGUUCCUGCAUUCAAGAAGUCUACCCUCUGGAGGUAUAAAGCAUGUAAAUAAUCAGACACAAUGCAAAUCCAGAUGAUUAGUGUUAAUGAAGAGGUCAAGCAGAGUGAGAGCACAGAGACUGGGUAAGGUCUCUGGAGAAGUGACAUCCAGUGAGACCUGAAUGAUGGGAAGACCUGGGGGAAGAGCACCCCCAGUCUUUAAUCAUCUGUGCAAAGGCCUAAGACAAGAGAAUCUUCCUCAAGAAGCCACUUUCCAGGCCCUCUUGACUAGAGAAGUGUGUGGACAGAAACCCCAGGCAGAGCAUCUGGGGACACAAAUGAGGAAAUGCUCAGAUUCUGCCAGCAAGGAGCCAGAAGAAGGAAGAGAUCGGCUAGCAAAGGUGACUGCAUAAGAUCAGGUUAAAUACCAAGGAGCCAGAUUGCUGGGUCAUAUGUUGAACUUUAUAAGAAGCUGCCAAACUAUUUUCUGGAGCAGCCGUACCAUUUUGCAUCCCCACCAGCAAUUUAUGAGACUUCUAGUCACUCCACAUCCUUUAUAACACUUGUUAUUAUCAUUAUUUAAAGUUGUAUCCAUUUAAAUAAAUG